AGUGAACGCUGGCGGUAGGCCUAACACAUGCAAGUCGAACGGCAGCACAGUAAGAGCUUGCUCUUACGGGUGGCGAGUGGCGGACGGGUGAGGAAUACAUCGGAAUCUACUUUUUCGUGGGGGAUAACGUAGGGAAACUUACGCUAAUACCGCAUACGACCUACGGGUGAAAGCAGGGGAUCUUCGGACCUUGCGCGAUUGAAUGAGCCGAUGUCGGAUUAGCUAGUUGGCGGGGUAAAGGCCCACCAAGGCGACGAUCCGUAGCUGGUCUGAGAGGCUGAUCAGCCACACUGGAACUGAGACACGGUCCAGACUCCUACGGGAGGCAGCAGUGGGGAAUAUUGGACAAAGGGCGCAAGCCUGAUCCAGCCAUACCGCGUGGGUGAAGAAGGCCUUCGGGUUGUAAAGCCCUUUUGUUGGGAAAGAAAAGCAGCAGGUUAAUACCCCGCUGUUCUGACGGUACCCAAAGAAUAAGCACCGGCUAACUUCGUG
RNAcentral lists this ribosomal RNA (492 nucleotides) under uncultured bacterium. RNAcentral's name for it is "partial 16S ribosomal RNA". It matches the Rfam family "Bacterial small subunit ribosomal RNA", at positions 29 to 507 of the family's 1533-position model. The record is from RNAcentral.